This 21-nucleotide small RNA is filed under the name Arabidopsis thaliana (thale cress). RNAcentral's name for it is "Ath_wt_15745". Lineage: Eukaryota; Viridiplantae; Streptophyta; Magnoliopsida; Brassicales; Brassicaceae. The record is from RNAcentral.
UCCGGAACCGGGACGUGGCGG